ACGGGAGGCAGCAGUGGGGGAUAUUGCACAAUGGAGGAAACUCUGAUGCAGCAACGCCGCGUGCGGGAAGACGGUCUUCGGAUUGUAAACCUCAGUUGUCCGGGACGAAAAAAAUGACGGUACCUGAAGAGAAAGCUCAGGCUAACUACGUGCCAGCAGCCGCGGUAAUACGUAGGGAGCGCGCGUUGUCUGGAUUUACUGGGUGUAAAGGGUGCGUAGGCGGGCAUGCAAGUCAGGCGUGAAAUCCCGUGGCUUAACCACGGGGCUGCGCUUGAAACUGGAGGUCUUGAGUGAGGGAGAGGCAAGCGGAAUUCCCAGUGUAGCGGUGAAAUGCGUAGAUAUUGGGAGGAACACCAGUGGCGAAGGCGGCUUGCUGGGCCAUAACUGACGCUGAGGCACGAAAGCAUGGGGAGCAAACAGGAUUAGAUACCCUGGUA
RNAcentral lists this ribosomal RNA (437 nucleotides) under uncultured Clostridium sp. RNAcentral describes it as "partial 16S ribosomal RNA". It matches the Rfam family "Bacterial small subunit ribosomal RNA", at positions 341 to 792 of the family's 1533-position model. The record is from RNAcentral. Lineage: Bacteria; Bacillati; Bacillota; Clostridia; Eubacteriales; Clostridiaceae.